GAAAGUCUGGAGGUCUAGCAUCAGGGUUGUAGGAUAGGGGCUCCUAGAGUUUUACGUACUCCUCACCCGGGGUUGGGUGAGGCUUGGCAGUGCUACCCAUAGAUGAUUCGUGUUUUGGAUUGUGUCUAACUUAUGAUAGUUAUUUAUGGUAGUUACUGUAUGAUAUUAUUGCACGAUAUUUAUAUAUGGUUCUUAUGUUUAGAUAAUUAUUUACGUUAUUUCUGCUGGAGUUACUAAUGGUCUUUUGUUUUUGUUUUUGUUUUUACUUUCUUUCACUGAGCCGAGGGUCGAUUGGAAACAGUCUCUCUGCCCUUUCGGGUAGGAGUAAGGCUAGUCUACCUAUUACCUUCCCCAGACCUCACUUUGUGGGACUUGGAGUUACUAAUGCUCUUUUAUUUUUGUUUUUGUUUUUACUUUCUUUCACUGAGCCGAGGGUUGAUUGAAAACAGGCUCUCUGCCCUUUCGGGUAAGGGUAAGACUAAUCUACCUAUUACCCUCUCGAGACCCCACUUUGUGGGACUAUACUGGAUAGUUAUUGCUGCAAAGAUAAAGCUAUACUCCAAUAUUGGAAAUAGCACUCGUUCCAAAUAGCACUCUUUCUAUGUUCUGAGGAAGUUUUGCUUACUUGUUAUAUUUGAAGUUUGACUGGGAGGUUUCCAAGUGGGCGGAGAUAGAGCAUCGGAGCGGGUUCGGCUGAACCCAAUAGUUUUGGUUCGAACUUUGAAUUUGUUUUAAAAUUUUCAUUAAAUAUGUAUAAAUUAUUAAUCUAAAACUCAGUAAUUUCAAACGAUUAGAAUUCCGAACCCAUAAACUUGAAAUCUUGACUCCGUCUGUACAAGUAGGUAGAAUUAAUGUUUAAAGAGCAACAUUGAUCGGUUUAGAAGUUGUUAAAUACCACGGAUCAUUAACAGGGACCAAAAGCCUCAUGAGGCAUUAACCAAUAUGUGCUAUACUGCUUGAGAUCAUACGCACCAAUAUAUUUCAUUCUUUAACUUACUUUUACGUAUUGAACCACAAUUCACAUGGUAUGUUUUUGUUUUAUUAUUUAGUACUCGGUAACUUGGAACUAUAUUAUUAGAUCAUGAGUUAGUAUUAGAGAUCUUUUUCCAUUUUUUUAAAAUUUCAUAGAGGGUUUAGUAAGCAUUUGGACAAUAUUUGGUUGAAGUUGGGAAAAAAGAAUAUUUGAAGUUGAAAUUUUAAAAGUUUAUUGGAACUUCAUGUUUGCUUAAACAUUUCCUCAACGUGUUUAGUUUUACCUGUUUAGCGCAAAGUUCUCAUACACUUUAUAAGCAUAAAACAAUUAAAAUAAAUGGAGGGCCAAUAAUAGCAGAUCGUAAUAAAUGUAGAGACCAAAGGAAAAACGCAAGAAAUAAUUGUUAUUUGUUAAGGAAGGGAGGGUAAAAAUCUUUUAUUGAUAAUAUCGAUUUGGCAUGCCUCUUCAUGGAGGGGUUUAGAGCUUUACAAUGAUAUUCUCUUUUUUGAGAAGUGGGAAUGAAGAAGAAGGAGCAACCCCCUUUUAGGAUUCUUUCUCUUAGUAUUUAUAGCUGUGGACUUUUCCAAUUGGCGUUGGAUGGCUGUGGUCAUGUCGAGGGACGUCCGUCGAUAGUGAAUAGGCCGUGGCCUUGUUGAUCAAGCUAAGUGACCUUCUAAUGCUUAUUAUUAUCAAGUGGUUGUGCCAAUUUCUAGUCCGAAUGGGCUUAAGAGCGAAUUAAUCUUAUUAAUUAUCGCGAGUCGAGUUUUGAUCCAUACAGUUAGUCCCUCCGCUUAUUGAGGCCGAGAACCGGUUGACCUCGAUGAGCGGACUUUACCGAAUGCGAUUAAAUAGAUUCGAAAGAAGGGAUUGGAUAUCGUUUUGGCCGUGACAUGGGAUGGUCGUAGUUGUUCAUGCUUUGCAGAUGGUCGUAGCCGUUUAUACUUAAAGGACGGUCGUGGCUAUUUUUUUACUCAUUGGAAACGGCCGUAGUCGUUUCAUUCCCUGAAGGCGUCUGUAGCCACUUAUGUUUAGGAGACGGCCGUAGCUAUUUACGCGUUCAAAGGAUGGCCAUGGCCAUUUUAUAUUUAGGAGGCGACAAUAACCAUUUAUACUUGAAUGGUGGCCGUAUCCCUUUAUGCUUGGAGGAUGGCCCUAGCCGUUUACAUUUAGGAGACAGCUGUAGCCACUUAUAUUUAGAGGAUGGCCAUAGCCAUUUACAUUCAGGAGGCCAUAGCCUUUUAUACUUGAAAGGUGGACGUAUGAUGUUUUCACCUCGGCAAUGUAUUCCCGCAGGCGGCUGCUGCGGUAUGAGUGCGUUUGACGUGCGUUGCAACGGUGCUCUGUGUAUGGAGGCAUACUGGACGUCCGCCCAACAUACCCAAGUCGUUAAACUCGCUUCGAAGGGGAAGUGUCGAUUGACGACUGCAAAGCUGUUUCGUGAUAUCUCUCAUAAUGACACACAUUAUUGUUGAUUCGAACCGUUUUUCGGUUGGUGAUGCAGUUAAUGAUGGCUUUUGGAAUUUGUGAAAGCCACUUUUGCAGUAUAAAUAACGAGUUAUAUCACUCGUUUCUCACUUUUCAGCAUCUGUUUAAGUAAGAUUUCUGCAUAAGCAACUUCUCUCACUCUUUUUCUUUGUUAAUUUGUGUUGUUCUUUGUCUUCUUUCACUCAAGCUCCAUCUUUUCUCCUUCUUAGGUGAACCUUAUUCACUCAUUGCACGGUAAUCAGUGAUGGCAAGCAGUUCUCACUUAGACCUUAACCUGGCAAUUUUUCCAGCGAUUGAUGGGUUUUCAAUGGUGGCGAGGGCCACCGAAUCGGUGGAUAUCGGUAGGGUCCCAUCGGCGGUUGAUAUUCUCUCUUUGCCCAAUUUCACUCAUUGCACGGUAAUCAGUAAUGGCAAGCAGUUCUCACAUAGAGCUUUCUUCGGCGACUCUUCCGGCGGUCGAUGGGUAUUCUGCGGUGGCGAGGGCCUCCGAAUCGACAGAGGUCGAUAGGAGCCCGUCGACAGUUGAUAUUCUUUCUUUGUCCAGAGGUCUAGCAACUGACUUCACCGCUGAUGGGGGGGGAGGAUCAGGUCAAUGAGGCCCCACUAAUGGGAGAGGUGGGCCUUGCCCAAUUAAGGUAGCAAUGGGAUAUUCCUCGUUUUGCUGAUAUCGUCCUUGCCAGGAGCGAGGAUAGAGUGCACAUCGACUGCCCAGGGUAUUGCGUUUUCUAUGCUUACCCUUUCAGAUUAGGGUUCAAGCUUUCCCUUCCGGCGUUGGUAGCGGAUUUUUGUCCUUAUUAUGAAGUGUGCCCUGGGCAACUCGUCCCUUCUUUCUACAAGCUCUUUGCCAUGCUUACCAAGUAUCCGGAGUUGGCCCGAAGAGAAAUAACGUUGCGGCACGUGCUAACUCUGUACGCCCCUCAGAGGGUCCAUGGUACCAUGAUUCGAAUGGUCCCUCGUGGGGUCAGGGGUUUGACUACGGAGCUGGACGAUGCGGUCGAUUCUCAUUCUUACGAGAAUUUUUUCUACAUCAGAACCGAGCAUUUGGUGGGGAAUGCCAAGGAAUUCUCAGAGACUUGGAACCAUAGACGUGAGUUUUCUAUUCGUCGGGUUCUGCCAUCCGUUCUUUCUUGUUCUUUUUUCUAAUGGGUAUCAACUUUAUCUUGUGUUUGUAGCUGAGAGGGUACCACCGGCUCCUCUAUCCGACAUUAUGGGUCGAGGCCGUACUUUCUCAGGCAGCGGGGAUUCACACAUGGCCGUCCUUCUAGGAAAGACACGGCCGUAGGGCCGCUUCGGGUGAGUGUUCCAGUUAUUUCAUUGUUCUUGUUCAAUCGUGCUGAGUUUCUCUCCUUUUAAUUAUUUUCUUUUGUUGAUCAGGGGCGGUGCACCGUGUGAGGGCUCCUCAGCUUGCAUUCCGCAGGCUGGGUGCGACCGCUCGGCUGGCUAUGGCACCAAUGCCACAUCCGAUUCUGAGGGCGACUUCAGUCGAGUCGUCAGCGGCACAUUUCCCAGCACAGUCUACGUCUCGGGUCGAGGCGUCUUCAGGGGUUAUUUGCCCCAGGACGGAGUCAUAUUUGAACGAGGAGGAGGAGGAGAGGCCGCAGGUUAGGUGUAGGGUCGCCUUCACGCCUAAGGCAGAGGUGGUACAUUUGGACUCCCCGCCGUCGGAUGCGGCGGAGAAUUAGGCGGUUGUGCCUACCCUUAAGGGCGAAAACACGAUGGGAGCUACCUCGGUCGGCUCAGACCGUAAUGAAACCGUCGCUUCGGCAGCUCAAUCAUCAAUUCCAGCUUUUGAGAUGGAAGGUGGUUGGCCGAUUGAAGAAGGAAGGGACGUCGCGGGAGGGGAGUUUGACUCCGAAUCUGACUUGCAAUCUGAAGAGGUCUGCAUGCUCCAUGAAGGUUUCACCAACGCGAUGGCGCAUGCAGAUGGGCCAUUUCGUUAUGUUGAUAUUCCUACCGAGUAGAACCUGCUACUUAAGGAGGACAAUUUGGUACCUAUAUUUGCGCCCUUGUGCUCGGAGGAGGAGAGCAGUUCGCUGAGGGACGUCUCAGACAUCGUAUUGUUGACUGAGGUGGCCGUGAUGGGUUUUAGGGUACGUGUGGUAAAUUUUUUUUGUUUCUUUUCUUGCCUUUGUUUGCUUCCUAAUUUAACCGCUGCUUUUGUUUUGCAGACCUUUCUUUUGGAGGUAGAGAGCAUGCGCCGAGCCAACGUUCGCUCGGGACUCUUCUUGCGGGCGCUGGAGAAGAAUCGCCGCUACCGGGAAAGCUGUCGCGUCAUGCGCAAGCACCUGAGGAAUGACCCCCCGCAGCCGGGAGAUGGUUGAGGAGUUGGUAAGGUGGGAGCUUCUAGUGCAGCAUGCUCAAAACAGGGUAAACACUCUCGAGGAGCAACUUCAUUGUAACGACGAUGAGAUGGAGGCCGAGAGGAGUGCUGCAGCUGAGAGGGUGUGUCGAAGUUAGGAGGCCCUCGCGGAGGCCUCUGAGGUCUUGAUUAGGCAGGUGGUCAAGUUGGACGAGGAGCUCGAUGCUUCGAGGCGGCAAGCCAGGGAUGCUUCGACGAAGGCUGGGGCGUUGGAGACGGCGGUCCUCGUUCGUGAGAGGGAACCGGAGCUGGUGAGAUCUGUUGCGGCCUUCAGAGUGGGAGGGCUAAAGGAACGCAUUGUCGUAUACGAAUGGGACGCCCAGAUUGCAGUAGAACGUAUUACGGCCUUGAAGGGAGAGAAUCAGCUCCUGAGGGAAUAGGCUGCCUCUUAUGGCCCCGCUCGAGAUCUUUGGUCGUUUGCCAACGUCUAGCUCGACGUGUACAAGAAAUUGUGGAAAGCCGGAGUUGUGCCCGAAACUGUUUAUGAGGGGGCCCGUCAAAAGGCCCGUGAUGCACGUCUCGGCUGUGGUUUCAACCCGGCCAUUACAGGGGCUGAUGAUGGUUCCGAGGGUGCUGAUGGUGGCGCGAGUGGCGUUGAGGGUGGCGCGGGUGGCGAUGAGUGAAAAGUUUUUGUAGAGUUAGUUUUAUUCCAUCUUGUUUUUUGUUGCCGUGUGGAUAAUUUUCUUAGUUCGCCUGUCUUUGCCGUAUGUAAGUGGAAGCGACCUAUUGUAAAUAAGGCUAUGAAUAUAUGUGCAAUUUUGUUUUCCUUUUCUUGUUUCCAAGUUUUUUUUGCACUCAUUCAAGGGGGUUUCACCUUUAGAGUUUUCUGGGGGCAUGUUGAUCUCCCAACAACUUUAGUCGUGAUAACGUCGGUGGCCUUGGCCAUGAUGACGUUGAUGAUCUUGGUCAGUUGGAUGGUUUCGACUAUUAUCGGGUCAUUUUCUUGCCCUAUUCAAAAACUAGGUAGGCUGCUAGCAUCGAUCUCUUUAGCCGUGAUUGACCGCUUUUCGCUUAUCGUUUUCCUUUACUCGGUAUGAGUAAGUUGUAGCCUUUAUUUGGCGAGGGUGGCGUAUAGCCUUACUAGGAGGGUUGCUAGCAUCGAUGGCCUUAGCCGUGAUUGACCUCUUUUCGCUUAUCGUUUUCCUUUAAUUGGUAUGAGUAAGUUGUAGCCGUUAUUUGGCGAGGGUGGCGUAUAGCCUUAGUCCCAGUUCGGCCGUGGUCUAAUUGUUGGCCGUGGCCUUGCAAUUCGACUGGGGCUGAACUUAUCGCGGCCUGAAUCUUAGUUCGAGUUAGGCGUACUUACUUGAUUGGCGAGGGUGCUUAACUUGUCCCUUCGCUCGUAGGGGAACAUGCCCGUCCAAUAGUGAGGGCGCUUGGUCUGAGUCUCGGUUUGUUCUGUAGUUGAAUUUUUGUGCGAGGUCGUGUGGCCUGAGUUGUUGUUCAACAAUAGUUGACCCUUUGCAAUUUUUGUUGUCGAAGGCACGUAUCCUGAGUCUGAUUUCAACUCAUAGUUGAAUUCUUGGGCGAGGGCACAUAGCCUGAGCUGUUGUUCAACUAUAGUUGAACCUCUGUCAUUUUUAUUGUCGAAGGCACGUAGCCUGAGUCUAAGUUCAACACAUAGUUGAAUUCUUGGGCGAAGGCACAUAGCCUGAGUUGUUGUUCAACCGUAGUUGGACCUUUGUCAUUUUUGUCGAAGGCACAUAGCAUGAGUCUCAGUUCAACUCAUAGUUGAAUUCUUGGGAGAAGGCACAUAGCCUGAGUUGUUGUUCAACCCUAGUUGAACCUUUGUCAUUUUAGUUGUCGAAGGCACGUAGCGUGAGUCUUAGUUCAACUCGUAGUUGAAUUCUUGGGUGAAGGCACAUAGCCUGAGUUGUUGUUCAACCGUAGUUGAACCUUUGUAAUUUUUGUUGUCGAAGGCACGCAGCCUGAGCUCAGUUCAACUCAUUGUUUAAUUCUUGGGCGAAGGCACAUAGCCUGAGUUGUUGUUCAACCAUAGUUGAACCUUUGUCAUUUUUGUCGAAGGCACAUAGCCUGGGUCCCAGUUCAACUCAUAGUUGAACUCUUGGGAGAAGGCACAUAGCCUGAGUUGUUGUUCAACCGUAGUUGAACCUUUUGUCUUUCCGCAUGACCCGUUGUGAGCAGGGCGUCGGGUGUUAGGUUUUCGUUUGAGAUCUUGUCCGAUUUGUGUGUAGCCUUCUUGACUAUUUUGUAGAGGUCAUUCUUGUUAUGGAUUUUGGUUUAAGAUGCCUUCGCGCCAUUUUCCGGCAAGGUCCCGUAUCAAGGGGAUGAGGGUAUCUCGCCCGUGGUCUCCUGUAUGGGGAGGGGGGAUCUGCUUCUUCUUAUUCUUUUGCUUUUUGGAGAAUUGGGGAGGGGGGAAGUCGAGGCUUCGGACUCUUGCUGGAGAUUUCGAGUUUCCUUCACUCGAUGCGCUACUUUGGCUCAUUCGAGCUGGUUGUUUUCCCUUCUGGGUGUUUCCUUCCUUUCUUUGGUCUGAGGAUGAACUACGCGAUUCUGCUAUGAAAUUCCCACAGACGACGCCAAAUUGUUUAGCUCAAAGUUCUCAUAUACUUUAUAAGCAUAAAACAACUAAAAUAAAUGGAGGGCCAACCAUAGCAGAUCGUAAUAAAUCUAGAGACCAAAGAAAAAACGCAAGAGAUAAUUGUUAUUUGUUAAGGAGGGGAGCGUAAAGAUCUUUUAUUGAUAAUAUCGAUUUGGUAUGCCUCUCCAUGUAGGGGUUCAGAGCCUUACAAUGAUAUUCUCUUCUUUGAGAAGUGGUAAUGAAGAAGAAGGAGCAGCCCCUUUUAGGGUUCUUUCUCUUAGUAUUUAUAGCCGUGGACUUUACCAGCUGGCGUUGGAUGGAUGUGGUCAUGUCGAGGGGAUGCCUGUCGAUAGUGAAUAGGCAGUGGCUUUGUUGAUCAAGCUAAGUGACCUUCUAAUGCUUAUUAUUAUCAAGUGAUUGUGCCAUUUCUAGCCCGAAUGGGCUUAAGAGCGAAUUAAUUUUAUUAAUUAUAGCGAGUCGAGUUUUGACCCAUACAUUACCAUAUAAGAAGGCUGAGACAUAUCAAAUGAAACUUAGUAAAGAGUACAAUAGGAAGAUGAUGUAGGAAGGGAAAAAAAAAGGUUACUCUAUGGACCUUUUGGCCAUAGAUUUUGCCAACAUUUAUUUGGAUUUCUUUUGCCAAAUACAUGUUUGUUCAUAAAUUGUAUUCAUGUUUUAUCAAAUUUCCAAAACCCAAAACCCGGCCCAAAAUAAUACUAUUACAUUUUUUAAAAAUUUCCCCUAACUUUUGCAUUUUAUAAAAAAGUCCAUCAUUUAUUUUUUUGUGACAAUGCUACUUCAUCUUCUCGGUCAUCUGAUAAUGCAUUAUGUAGUCAUUAUAAAAAAUGAUAAUUUUGUACCAAAUUUAUCUAUGUUCAUGACUAUGAUUUGAAAUAAUAUAAUGAAUGUUAUUGAUGAAGGUAAUUUUGGAUAUUUGUGAUAGUUUUUAGAACUUGUAAGUACAAAUGAUGUUUCAUAUUUUUUCAAAAAGAAAAAAGAAAAAGUGAAAUAUAUUUUGAAAAUGAAUGUCCGAACACAUUUUAAUCUUCAAACCAAACUUUACCCAAAUUAAAUUUUUCAAAACAAAUUUGAAAAUCUAUGGCCAAACGCUAGCUAGUAGCUACAACUUCACAACACUGUACGAAAACACCAUGCUCAAAUCCAGUUGAGUAACAACUAGCGAAUUCCUGGUUACAGAUAAAAGGUAAGACAGCUACUGAUAUACAGAUAGGUUUCCUUAUUAGGUCCCUUCAAGAUUCAGUAACGCCUACCACCAGACGUUGACAUUAGGAUCCGAUUUGGCUUCUUCCCCCUCUUCCCUGCAGCAUCAUUUGAUUUAGACGCAUUGGGACCUUCAACAGCUUUUGCUUUGGACGUUACGUUUGCAAAGGACAGGGUUCCAGAACUCCUUGUUCCUGAGAGAACUGAAGUCCACAGGUUAUGAGCACUAAUCCGACAUAAGCAAAACGAAACAAUAGCAUGUUUACAGCAAAUUGUGAUGAAACAUGAUGAAGAGGAAUUGAGAUUAUAGUAGAUAUUCAAUCUCAAAAGUCAACUAUGAGAAUUAAAAAGAUACCAGAUGCAACCGUAGAAUCACGUCUGGGCUCAUCCGUCUUCAGCGCUGGAGGAUCACAUCCAGCGGCAAAACCAAGCCUAGCAACAUUGGAGAACAGCUGCUUGCCUCCAGGAACCAGGGAGCUUGAUGAUGUAACAGUCGUACUUGUACUUCCCAAAGCUUAUCACAAGUACAAACACAAGAACAAUCAUUUCAAGUAACGGCAUAACGGCUAGCACAUAGGUAAAGCAAUAUUGUAAGAACUUCAAAACAAAGGCCAAAUCUACCUAGGUUUUUGCAAUCAAGAAGAAGAGAUAAACAGUUAAUAGCGUCGGUGUCAAUACCGCACAAGGCAGAAGUCAAACUUCUGAAAGAUCCACCAGUAUUCAAGCUCAAUUUAGUUCCGACAGUAACCAUUUUCUAUAACGAUUUGAGUCACAUAAUUACUAGCAAGAAAGUGAUUGUAUAUGUUGAGACAUAAUAAGUAAAUAAAGUAUGUUCUUUCUAAUAGAAGCUUUUAGAUCAAGUCUCAUCGCGCCCAUUAACAUAAAUGAAUUUCACGUGCUUGGUCCGUGAAAUUGAAUCAAAUAGUAAGGGUCGAGUUGAAGAGACAAUUAAAUAAAGAAAAGUGUUAUCUCUCUAAUAGCUUAAACUUUUUGUUUUUUAUAAGAUAGGUCACACACUUCAACAAUGUUCACAAAUUAAGCACUUUAUUAGAUGAAGAUUAUGCACUUAAAGGAAUAUAGUUGUCUAAUAACCAACCAAGUAAUGGUAUGCUCAUCUUCCACUUAUAUAAAGACAGGGAAAUUAGCAGAUAUACUACGGGAUGGUUAAAAUUCAAAUCACGUAAGAAGAGACAUAAAACCCACUUACAUAAAUAGCAAUUUUUGACGUACCUUCGAAGUCAUCGCUAGUGAAAUUAGGCUGUUCUGUGUAAGAAGGUCCUGCAAAGCUAAAAGGCAAAGGCUCUAAGUGCAUGCCAAUGGCUUCAGCUUUAACUUUUUCACGCAGUUCCUGGAAAAAGAAAAAUAUCAUAUUUGAAGAGUUUCUCAAAAAAAAAAAAAAGGAAUCAUCCAAACCAAGUUUCUUAUUAAAUCGUGUGCACUGUCAACUUGGGGUAUCAUGAGAGCGUAAUUGAUGCUGAGAAGAAAGAGAUGUGAGCAGAGCAUUAACAAGCUGUUUUUCAAUAUAAGAUAUCCAAACCACUACAACGACCUCAUUCCAAUCUAGCCAAGAAAAGGGAUGGCAAUGGGGCAGGGCCACAUAUAGCUGAGUAAAGGGAUGGCAAUGAUGUAGUCCCCGUUAAGUUAGUUUUUCUUCUCUUUCACCUCUUUACUUAUUUUUCUUCUCAUCAUUUUCUUUUUAGAUCAUUUUGAUUUUUUUUUUUAUAUAUAAGAUGCGAGAGCAUCUCUAGAGGCUUUAUAAGUCAUCUCUUGGGCCCAACUGUCCAUCUUAGUUUGGGUUAAAAGUAGGAUGGAUUAGGGACUUCCUAGUAUAAAACAAUCAGUUAAGGACUGGCUUAAUGGUUUUACUUGUCAAUCUUAUUGUGAACCAGAGCAAUUCCGAUGCAUUUUUAGCUUAUAACAUAUAUGUUGAUCUUAAGCGUUCUUAUUUUACUAUAAGAAAAUUAAUCUUAUAACACAAAAAGGAUCUAGUUACAUACUAAAGGUAGACUGUGGAAUACUACUCAUUUUCUCCCUACAAAGUCACUUCACUGAUCUUCAGCAGGUGUUAUUUAUAUCCUGUACUUGAAUAUUUUAGCACUUUCCAUUCACUCUGGGAUUUUCUAAGCAUCAUAAACCCGUGAUGCUAAUCCAUUCAAUUGCACAAGAACAGAAAAAUCAACUGAAAUUCGGAUGAGAAGCAUGGGGCACAAACCUUCCUAGCUAGCCACUUCCUUUGUUUUUCCCUACUUUUGAUGUCCUCCAUAAAUGGAGAAAGUGCAUCCACGGGCAAUAUCUUGCUGAGAUCAAUUUCACAGAGCUGAAAAUUACAAGCGAAAAUAAUUAGAGAGAACCAAACAAUUAAUGAAGUAAAGUCAACACACUUCCAGAAAUAAGCAUCACAGCAAGUACCUGAAACGUUGUUGUCAAAGAAAAAUGACUUAAGAAGCGGUAGCGCCUUCUCAUGGCCUCAGACUGCGUCACAGACUCCAUUUGUAAUAUCUUCCCACUAAUUCUGCAUCCAAAACUUCCUCUUCUAAGUGGUGGCAUAAUAACAAACGGCAUAUGUUAUUUUCAGGUAAGCAUGGUAUUUACCACCCUUUAGCCUCUGUCCCUCCCACUGGUAAACCUAUUCCCUCUCUCAGCUCAUGGCACAGUUCACCUUACCCACCUACCCUAAAAUAAAAGAAACCUGUCACAGCAAGCGGCAACUCUGUGCCUUUUCUAACUCCCACCUAUCCAUCCUUUACAUUGUCAUAGCAAAUCCAUCCUUCCUAUGGCCUUCGCAAGCCAAAGGAAAUCGCCAUCCCCAACCCUUCAGGUCAGUUUACCAGCAGCACCUACAGUUCCUCUAGAAUAUGUCCAAAUUAUAUGACUCCCUUACCCAAAUUCAUUUUGAAUCACGGUCAGGGAACUGAAUAUGAAGCUAACUACCUUCUGUUACAUAGGUGAGAGAAGGUAAAGUGGGUGAAAUAGGAUUUAAGCUGAAACUUUGAGGAGGGGACUCUCCCCUUCAUGUCAUGUGUAAAGCCCUCUUUUCCUUUUUAUGCAACUUAGAUAAAUUGGUCUAAUAAUCUCCACUUCAUAUUUUGGGAAAAGGGGCCUUAUAAAAGAUGAUACAUAAAAAGGUAACCUUUAAGGGGCUGGAGGGACAUUAACACAAACCUCACUGUUCUUACCCGCAAGAAGAACAUAGGGUGAGUAACAUUCAUCUUUCCCCCAAUGUGACCUAAGUUGUGAUAGAUUCACCAGUUCCUUGGUUGUGCCAAACUCAUAACCGGUCUAAGAUUUGGUCUAUAGAUGAACCAAAAUUUGACGAAGGAUUGCACAAGCUACGUAUGGUGAAUAUUAAGAAUAAACUUGAGCAAAAUAAUUAACCACUAAAAAGGAAAAAAGAGCCAAGAAAAGAGGGAAAAGAAAGGGAGGACCACAUUGACUGUUGACACUACCAGCCGGCCACUCUGUUCUCGCCUGCUUUGCCGAAACAUUCCUUCAUUGUUGCAGAAUUUCUCCCCUCAGUGCCCCUUAUAAUUCAUACUCUCACACCCUUUGAGACCCCUAGCACACCAUAGCCCUGUGCAAACUCCUCUGCAUCCCAAGCUUAGCAUAUCCCCUGCUCCUUUCCCAGUCACUAUUCACUAUCUCUGUCCCUCCCUAGAACUUGUUGUAACCAUUUUUCUUCCUAUGAUUCAGAUGCAUCACGUCCUUCCUUUGCUUGCCGAGAUCAUCAACACCCCCCCCCCCCCUUUCACACAGCACCUCUUCCAGAAUCCCUUUCUGAAUUAACUAUUCUCUGAUGAAAAGUGAGAAUUGAGAUUUAAUCUGUUUGUUGGAUUGCCCAGCAAAAGAAGGUUUUUCGAAGUGUACCUCCAAACUUUGUCCAGUAGAUCACGUGUCAAAAUAGAGCUAGGUUUUAGUAGCCAAUCACCAAGGACCAUCCGGAACAGAAGACAUCUAUCAAGGACGAAACUGAAACCCCAGAAGAAUAGGCACGAAAUAGCAACUUCCAUCAAGGAGUAAAUUAAUCCACAUAAGAAAUUCAUUCAAUCUGAUCGUGGCCUCCUUACAAAUGACGGUAAAGUAAAAACAACCUAAAUGUAUCAAAACUGAUUUUGAUGGGUCUUCAGGUGUGCAGUUCCUAUUGAAACCAACUAAAAUAGACACAAUAAAACAGAGAUCCGUUUCAUCGAUGUCAAUGAGGAAUGAACAAUCAAAAAAACAAAACAGAAACCCCUUUGCCACCUAUUACUGGAAAAUACAGCAUAACUUACUGUAAGAAUAUAAUUAGCUUUCAAACCUGUUAGGAAGACUACCAUAGCCACCGUAGUAACGCAAAAGACACUUCAUGUUCAGCGGAUGAAGGAUAAGGUGCUGACCAUCAACUGCCUGAAAUAAUCAGGAAAACAUAAAACAUGUAUAAAGCUGAGCAUUACAAAUCUCUCACAGACAACAAAAAGAAAAAGGAAAGAUAUUCACUUAACAGAAAUGUUAUGCUUAGUUUGAGUUGACAAAAGAAUUUUUUUGAUAAGGUAAUAACUUUUAUUAAAAAAGGGCAGAAGAGCCCGUAUACAAGAGGUAUACCCAAAAAGUAGAAAGCCUUACAAUAAGACAUGGUUUUCUACGAAUGACACCCAAUCUUCCGUACAAAUAGGAACAUCAUGGGCGCACCAAAACUAAAUAAGGGAAAAGAGGCUACUCAAGAGGACAAGAUCUUUUUUCUACACCAUCAAAAGCUAUAUUCCUCUCAGUCCACAUAACCCACAUGAGUGCUAAUGGAGCAACAUUCCAUGCCUUGCAUCUUCUCCUCCGUCUUCUGAAGGUCCAACUAAACAUGGUGUCUUUUACCGUGCCCGACAUCACCUACGCAGUACCAAACCAUCUAAAAAUUUCCCCGCGCAAAUAGGAAGCUAUCCAGCAAUGUAAGAGAAGGUGAUUCACAUCUUCUCCCGACUCUUUGUGUAUGAAGCACCGGCCAACACAGGUGAUCUUCCUUUUUCUCAAAUUCUCCACCGUUAAUAUCACCCCUCUAGUAGCUAGCCAAGUAAAGACACACACUUUUCUGGGCACUCUAGGAAUCCACACUGAAUUAUGUGGGAAGACCGGCUCAUCCCUAUUAAGAAGCUUCUCAUAGUAGGACCUAACCGAAAAAUACCAUUUUCCCCGGCAUCCCAUCUCCAUGCAUCAAGACUAUCUUGUGAGACUCUUUGGUUAUGAAGCAUUUCUAGCAAGUUUUGAAAUUCUUCCACCUCCCAGUCUUGCAAGUUCCUUCUAAACCUGACAUCCCAUUCCACUUCUUCUCCUUGAAGAUUCUACAAUCGACACAAUCAAUGGAUGGGCAGCUUCUUUUGGCUUGAAAUAUUGUACAUGUUCGGGAAAGCGAUCCUCAUAGCGUUGUCUACGCUCCCAAAAACUAAUCCGCCUCCCAUCCCCCACCCUAAAUGUGAUGUUCUCCUUAAAGUUAUCCCACUCCUUUAAUAUGAUCCUCCAUAAUCCGCACCCAUAAGGAAGUGAGAUAUUUUGUCCUCAAACCUUCCCCNNNNNNNNNNNNNNNNNNNNNNNNNNNNNNNNNNNNNNNNNNNNNNNNNNNNNNNNNNNNNNNNNNNNNNNNNNNNNNNNNNNNNNNNNNNNNNNNNNNNNNNNNNNNNNNNNNNNNNNNNNNNNNNNNNNNNNNNNNNNNNNNNNNNNNNNNNNNNNNNNNNNNNNNNNNNNNNNNNNNNNNNNNCCCAAAGUCCCGUACUUCUCCGCAAUAACCCCUCUCCAAAGGGUAUCCAUCUCUAAACCAAAACUCCAUAGCCAUUUUCCUAGUAGAGCCUUAUUAAAGACUCUUAGGUCUUUAAUCCCAAGCCCACCCCAGCAUUUCGGUGUAGUAACAAUCUUCCUAUUGACCAAGUGAAAAUUUUUCUCCCCAUUUGCACCAUCCCAUAGAAAGUCCCUUUAAAGUUUUUCUAACUUGCAUGCAACGUUAGCUGGGGCAUGCAACAAGGACAUGAAAAUAAGUGCGAAUGCUGGAAAGAGUGCUCUUAAUUAGCACUUCCUUUCCCUCUUUUUUGAGUUGACAAAAGAAAUUGAGGCAGCAACAUUAUCAAAUGUUAUGAUUAGCUUACGACAAGAUUAUCCUAAGAUGCAUUAAGGAGUUACCGCGGAGCUAAAAGGAAGAAGCAAGCGGAAGCAAAAGAAAGCACGAGAAAUGACCCCAGGCAAUUAAUUGGACCAUUGGAAGAAGAGGCAUAAGAGAACCUUUGAAGGUGUCAAUAACACACAUUCACAAGUGGAAAGUCUGUCAUUCUUUUCCGUCUAUUUUUGAAUCCAAAGCAUUCAAGUUUCUAUGAAUGAUCAGAUGACCUUCAUGGAAAACAAUAUCUUUGUAUGGUACAUCUAUAUUUUUGCAUUCAUGGGCUUUCCGUUUCUGUGUGAAAUCCAUCACUAGGUUCGACAACAUACAAUUUUAUCAACUACAUGCGUUGAUAUAUCAAAAACCUAAUAGCACACAAAAUCAAGAACGGAAUUUUUUUUGAGGAAAAUGGCUUUACCCCACUUUGCCUGAUGUAUUUAAGUAAGGGACACUAUCUAUAUCUAUAUCUAUAUGUAGCAGAAGCUAAAACCCCACUGAAGAACUUGUUCAUGAAAAGGUAGAUUCAACAGAAUGAAAUCAAUUGCUUCAAAACAACAAUAAAGUCUAAAACUUGCUCCAAGUCAUCCCAACCACCAGCAACAAACCGAGUGCCUGAAAACACCGAAAAGACAUCUCUUAUAUACCUCCUUUCAAUUCAACAAUGUUAUGAAGCUCAGGUGAGGGAUAAGUACCAUGCAAACAGAAAAGAAUCAAAUAUCCAACAGAAAUAGUGAUCUUAGAGACCAAGGUUCAAAUUCCAAAAAAAAAUAAAAAAAACUAUGGAUUCUUUUCCAUCUGCUAAAACUUGAUGGACAUGGUUACUGCGUACUUGUGUUGGGUAGGUCCUCGGUAAAAUAGGUCACACCAAGCUGGAUAUGGCACCAUCAUUAUAAGAAAAUAGUGAUCUUUAGCUAUUUCAUUGUACCUGCCAAGCACAGAUGAUCUUACUACUUUUGUUGUUCAGUAUGCCACAGUCGAAGAAAUAGGUUAUUUUCCUCUUGCAAGAUAUAAUCAUCUCAUGAGUUAACGUUUAGUAUGAGUUGAGCUCAAGGUCCAUUUGUUUAGUGAUGUAUCAGAGCUAGAUUCAUCCCUAUUCUUUGUUACUCAAUAGUGACUACCAUGCUAUGGUGUCUACUCUCCAAAUGUCCAGCCUUGACGUAAGGGCAGGACCGCAGGAAAAAGGGGGGAGGGGGUUAAGUGUCUCGUAUUUGUAAAAAAAAUUGGUUGAUGCCUCUUUAUAUAUUUUUGGGUAAGCCUCACCUCAUGAGUUAGCUUUAGGGGUGACGAGGUGAGUUCGGCCAGAUGUCCAUUUUCUUAACAAUACACAUGAUGCAUCUAAUGUAAUACACAAGUACUUGCAUAAGAAAGACAAUGUAAUAAUUAAGAUGUUCUUUUUUUUAGAAGGAUUAAGAUAUUCUUUUGAAAAUAUGACAAGUUUUGAAUUGAGAUAAUCCCUCGGGAAUAUGGCAGUUUGAAUUCCACAUACUUACAGAAAAUAAAUACUCACAAAAAGGUUAUUUAAUCAUUCCUCCCCUAUGUAUAUGGUACCAAAAAACAUGAUCCGCAAUUAAAUUCACCUGGUAGAAACUGUAGGAAUUGAUCUCUUCUUUGUCCGUAACGCCACUAUUGUCUUUCUGUAGGCUCUUAUUAUUGUCAUAUAAGGUCAACGAAGAUCCAACACAAUCUCCUACUGAUUCAGCAUCUGCAGCUUGAAUAAGCUGAGAGUCCCUCGCUGCCCUAUGGAGAGUUGAUUUCUCCUGUGAUACCGGCUUAUCAGCGGGAUGACUGGAUGGCAUUUCUGGAGUAGAUUGACCAGCACACGGGGUCUUAAAACUUUCUGGUGACAGAGAUCCACUAGGACACUUUCCCAAAUAAUUGUCUCUGCUAGUGUUGUUGUUUUUGACAGCAAUGUGUUGCUCAUUCCAGUACUUCUUCCUCUGCUCCAAUUGUUCCAUUGCGGCACAGACAAAGGGAAGUUUCUCCAUGUCAUCAACUAGGCCUGAAUCUGCUCUAGCUAACCAACUAUCAAGAUCAGACAUUGCCUCUCGGACAGAAAGGUCGACAUCUGAAGUAAAUGUGAACUUAGAAAAGGACUUCUGAACCUCCUCUGUAGCACCAGUGCCAUCAUUAUUUUUCAAAGAUGAAGUAAAUGAAUCCUUGUGGCGGGUCAAAAGGACAAACUCUACGGCAUCACCAACACGAUGUUGCUUAACGUUCUCAAUUUGGAUGGUGUACAAAUCCUUCGAAGAUAUCAUCAUAAAGCACAAGGGACAUUUCUUCUUGAAAUCGUUUUUAUGCUCGUCGUCUUCAUCGAUCAUUAAAUAUUGCAUAACACAAGGGAAACAAAAGAUAUGACCACAUGAUGUUAUCUGAGGACACAAAGGAUCCUCUAAGCAUAUUGGGCAUUGCACAUGAAAUGGAGUGGAAUAUCUCACACAAACAAUAUCCUCCCAUUGUAAAAUUUUGUCCGGGUCCAUUGAGUUAGGCGUGUAAUUGCCUGAAUCCAACAAAACAAACUUGUAAUUUGCUUGGAGAAACAAGUCUUUGUUGUAAGGCUUUCUCUUCAUGUAUCUCCUUGGAGGAGGCGCCCUAGCUUGUGGACGAGAAAUGGGAUUAUAAUGAAAAUUCAGCAAGUGGUUGCCACUAACCAUCUGGGUUCUUCUUGGAGCUGAGCGUGUUGAAAUUCCUUGAGGACUAUUGGAGCCAAAAUGGUCGGGUCUUCUGGAAGGAUCAAUGGUCCCAGCUAAUUUCCCUGGUUCAUACAGUGAGAUUCUACCAUUUUUGGGACGUCCCAAACUUCUGAAACCAUCUUGACUGGUACUGAAGUUGUUCACCUGCAGUAUUUUGAAGAGCGCAAAUCAUCAAGUAACCGGCAAUGGAAUGAACAAAUAAGCAGUUAAAAAAAAAAAGAUCAUGACAUUUAGCGUCUGAGGGGUGCAUUUGUGAAAGAGCUACAUAAUUAAAUGGUUUAAGAGGAAGUUGCAAAAUGCAAAAUUUUACCUUUUUGGAAGAUCCACCAGUAGCAUGUGAUUUAGUAGGAGCCAUGUUUCCUGAGAAAACAAAAGCUAAAGCAUGAUAUGGAGAAAACAUCUACAUUGGGCAAGCUGAAGAGUACUAUGAUAGAGGUACUCAUUCCCUUGAAAAACAAACCGAGGAAAAGGAAAAGGAAAACUCAACUGAAAAAGAGGUAUGACGCAAGACAAAUGCAACAAUAUGACAUUAUAACAUAGGCAGAGUUGAAUUAGGUAAAAGAGCAUAACACCUGAGAAGUUGUCGGAGGAAAUUGAGGGAGAGUCGCCGAGGGGGCGAGAGGGUUCUUGUUGCUGUUUGGAUCCAUGAUUGGAGUUAGGGUUUGGAGAGCUUGGGGAAGAAGAAGAGGAAGCCGUAUGAUUGUCGCUAUGGGCAGACAAGAUGGACAUGAAAUUCUAACAGAGAUUUCCUGGGAAAUUAUAGAGAGCGGGGGUUACUGCAGUUGAUCUUUUCGGGUUUUAGUCUCCGAAGACCCCAAAUAUAUAAGACCGGGGGUGGGGUGGUUGCCGGGGGGAGGGGGAGAAUAGGCAAAAAUGUCCUUCAGCCAUUCCAACAGUUUAGUUAAUAAAUACAUUACUUCUAACAUUGCAUUAACUAGUACAAAAUAGUUCUUUUAGUUAUGGUCUCAAGUUAAUUCUUAUUGGUUAUAGUUUAAACACUUCUUUUGUUUUUCUCCCCUUGAUUAUAAAUCCUUGUUAUGAAUUUUGAAUUGUCUUAAAAGAUUUCUAAGAUAUCAUUUAAUUGGGGCAAGUGCACAGAUAGUCAUUCUUAGUGAUGUUAUUUAAAGAUUAGCCUGUACUUAUUUUGUCUUGAAAUUUUAAACUAAAAAUCUUACUUUUAGGAUAUUUUUUUCCCAAAAAUUUGAAUUGAAAAAAUUGAAAUACAGGACGCACUGAAUAAUUCUUCAAAAACUGAAAUACGACCCACCAUGUGCUUUGAUUAUGGACAUAGAGAUCAGGUGGACGAGAAAAAGAGGAAUAUGUAUGAUAUACCUAGGGUCAAGUGGGGUGCAUUGACUAAUGACAAGGCCUAGGAGUUGGGAGGAAAAGUUGUUGGCAAUGGGGACGGGGAGGAGUAGCGGGGACGCGAGUUGUAUGUGGUCUAUGAUAGAAAAUUGCAUUAGAAAGGCGGCGAGAGAGGUGUUAGGGGUCUCAAAGGGUUUUCUGGUGGCCAUAAGGGGACUCGAGGUGGACCGAAGAGGUUCAAGGGAAAGUGAAAGCCAAGAAAGCGGCAUAUUUGAGGCUAAUAAAGAUUAUAGACUAGGGGCAGAAGAGUGUUAACGCGGAGAGGUAUAAGACGGCUAGGAAUGAGGUUAAGUUGGCGGUUAUUACGGCUAAGACCGCGGCAUUUAAUCGUUUAUAUGAAUAAAUUGGCAACAAAGGUGGGGACAAGAAGUUGUACAUGCUAGCGAAGGUGAUGGAGCGGAAUAUCAGGAUCUGGACCAAGUGAGAUGCAUAAAAAAUGAGGAAGGAAGAGUUUUAUUAGAGGGGCACAGAUUAGGCAGAGAUGGCAGCCUUACUUCCAUAAACUCUUGAAUAAAGUGGGAGAUAGGGGCAUUAUGCUAAGGCAGUUGGAAUACUCGGAGCGGCAGAGAGAUUUUAGGUAUCAUAGACGCAUUCGAGUGGGGGGAUGUUGUAGGGGCUAUGCGCAGGAUGAGUAGGGGUAGAGCGACUGGGUCGGAUGAGAUCCUGGUAGAAUUCUAGAAGAGCGUGCAUAAGGAGGGCUUAGAAUGGCUUGAUAGGUAGUUUAAUGUCAUUUUUAGGACGAAAAAGAUGCCCGGAGAGUAAAGGUGAGUACGAUGAUCCUGUUGUACAAUAAUAAGGGGGAUGUCCAAAACUAUAACAAUUAUAGGGGUAUCAAGUUGUUAAGCUAUAAUAUAAAAGUGUGGGAGGGGGGGACUAAAGGGAGUUUUGGAAGAUGUGUAUCCAUUUUCGGGAACCAGUUCGAUUUCAUGUCGGGAUGAUCGACUAUUAAGGCCAUUCACAUUGUGAGGAUAUUGGUGGAGCAAUAUAGAGUGGUAAAGAAGGAUUUGCGUAUGGUGUUCAUUGACCUGGAGAAAGCCUGUAAUAGAGCCCCAAUAGAGGUUCUAUGGAGAUGUUUAGAGGUAAGAGAAGUGCUUGUAGCGUAUAUUAGAGUGAUUCAGAACAUGUAUGAUGGUGUUAAGACACGAGUUAGCACGGCAUAAAGAGACUCUGACUACUUUCCAGUUGAGAUGGGAUUGCAUCAGGGAUCAGCACUUAGACCAUUUUUGUAUUCCCUGGCGAUGGAUUUUUUGACGCGUCACAUUCAAGGGGGGGGGGGGCCUUAGUGUUUGUUAUUUGGGGGGGACAUAGCCCUACGGUGAAGAAGGAUUUGCAUAUGGUGUUCAUUGACCUGGAAAAAGCUUAUGACAAAGUUCGGUUCUAUUGAGAUGUUUGGAGGCUAGAUGAGUGCUUGUAGCAUAUAUUAGAGUGAUUCGAGAGAGAUAUGAUGGGGCUAAGACACGGAUUAGGACAACAGGAGGAGACUUGAACUACUUUUCGGUUAAGAUAAGGUUGCACCAGGGAUCAUCACUUAGCCCGUUUUUAUUUUUCCUAGCAGUGGAUUCUUUGACGUAUCACAUUUAAGGGGGAGGGUGCCUUGGUACUUGUUAUUUGCAGAGGGCAUAGUCUUGAUUGAUGAGACGCGAGGUGGCGUUAACAAGAGGCUGGAGGUCUAGAGACAUACUCUAGAGUCUAAGGGUUUCAAGCUGAGCAGGACCAUGACAGAAUACUUGGAGUGCAAGUUCAGCGGUGUUGUCGAGGAGGCGGACGGAGAUGUGAGACUCACUACGCAUGUCAUUCCCAAGAGAGAAAGUUUCAAGUGUCUAUGAUUUAUAAUUCAGAAGGAUGAGGAGAUAGAUGAGGAUGUAACACACCAUAUCGGAGCAAAGUGGAUGAAGUGAAGGCUCGCUUCCGGUGUCUUAUAUGAUAAAAGUGUGCCAUUGAGACUUAAGGGUAAGUUCUAUAAGGUAGUGGUUAGAUCGACUAUGUUGAAUGGGGCAGAGAAUUGUCCAGUCAAAAACUCCCAUGCCCAGCAGUUGCAAGUAGCAAAAAUGAGGAUGUUGAGAUGGAUGUUGGGGCAUAUUAGGUUGGAUAGAAUUAGGAAUUACGUUAUUCAGGACAAUGUAGAAAUGGCCCUUGUGGAGGCAAAGAUGCGUGAGGCAAGGUUGAGAUGGUUCGGGUAUGUUAAGAGGAGAAGCAUAGAUGCCCUAGUCAGGAGAUGUGAGAGGUUGGCAUUGAGAGACGAGAUGAGGGGUGGAGGUAGGCCAAAGAAGUCUUGGGGAGAGGUGAUCGGGCGGGAAAUGACACAACUUGAGCUGACCGAGGACAUGACCCUAGAUAGAAGGGUGUGGAGGAUGUAGAUUAGGAUAAAAAGUUAGUAGAUAGUCGUACACUUCCCUUUGUCUUCUAGUUCGGUAGUAUUAGUGCUAGUACGAUACUUUUUUUCCUUAGUUUGCUAUAUUCACAUGUCUUGUUCCGUUAUUACUUGCCAUCGGUCAUUCCGUAGUUUACUAGCAGUACUUCGUUCAUAUUCUCGUUUGUUGCCUUGGAUUUAGUUUUUAAAUGUAUUAUCGUGUUAUUACUUAUUAUCGGUACCCCUUUCAUAUUUUUUAUCGCUAUCUUCGAUUUACUUUUCUAAUUAUUUAUCUCGCUAUUGCUUGCUAUCAGGGCUUCCUUCGCCUUCUUUAGUCGAGGGUCAAUCGAAAACAAUCUCUCUGCCCUUCUAGGGUAGAGGUAAGGCUGCGUACAUCCUACCCUCCCCAGA
This 21502-nucleotide long non-coding RNA is filed under the name Nicotiana benthamiana. Its description in RNAcentral is "long non-coding RNA (NBEN_LNC005911)". The record is from RNAcentral. Lineage: Eukaryota; Viridiplantae; Streptophyta; Magnoliopsida; Solanales; Solanaceae.